This 468-nucleotide ribosomal RNA is filed under the name uncultured bacterium. Its description in RNAcentral is "partial 16S ribosomal RNA". It matches the Rfam family "Bacterial small subunit ribosomal RNA", at positions 28 to 507 of the family's 1533-position model. The record is from RNAcentral.
GACGAACGCUGGCGGCGUGCUUAACACAUGCAAGUCGAACGGAAAGGCCCUGCUUUUGUGGGGUGCUCGAGUGGCGAACGGGUGAGUAACACGUGAGUAACCUGCCCUUGACUUUGGGAUAACUUCAGGAAACUGGGGCUAAUACCGGAUAGGAGCUCCGGCUGCAUGGGGGGGGUUGGAAAGUUUCGGCGGUUGGGGAUGGACUCGCGGCUUAUCAGCUUGUUGGUGGGGUAGUGGCUUACCAAGGCUUUGACGGGUAGCCGGCCUGAGAGGGUGACCGGCCACAUUGGGACUGAGAUACGGCCCAGACUCCUACGGGAGGCAGCAGUGGGGAAUAUUGCACAAUGGGCGGAAGCCUGAUGCAGCAACGCCGCGUGCGGGAUGACGGCCUUCGGGUUGUAAACCGCUUUCGCCUGUGACGAAGCGUGAGUGACGGUAAUGGGUAAAGAAGCACCGGCUAACUACGUG